Eptesicus fuscus (big brown bat) is the source of this 661-nucleotide long non-coding RNA. RefSeq lists it as uncharacterized. The transcript is spliced from 3 exons. The record is from RefSeq and is a predicted model, not a curated record. Lineage: Eukaryota; Metazoa; Chordata; Mammalia; Chiroptera; Vespertilionidae.
ACUCUCUCUCGGAGCCCUGAGCCUCUGUGCAAGACAUCCCAGUGUGAAGAAGCCAUGCCACAUGGAACAGCUACUCCAGGUGCCUCAGGGGUCCUCGUGUUAGGGCCAUCCAAGCCCAGGCUCCAGGUGGAUGUAAGAAGGAGCCUUCAGGAGUGUCAAAGUGAGACCUGACAAUGGACCCCUGCCCUGCUCCACAGGCAGCCCGCCCACUCUAGGCACAAAAAAACAACCUUCGUAUCUCCCAACUCGGGCAACAACCCAUGCUUUCUACCAAGAUAAAUACUGAAUUCCAGUGCCCAGCACAGAGAGGAUGCCAUGGUAUUAAGGACUCGGGUCCUUUCCUGGCUUCUACUUUGAAAACAGCCCUCUCUGAGGCAUGGGAGACCCUUCCUGGGACAAAGAAAUUGACAAGCUACUCCAAAAUCAUCUUGGAAAAGAUAACAAGGUUGAAAGACUCACACAUCCUGAUUUCAAAAAUUAGUACAGAAUUACAUGAAUCCAUACUGUCUGAUAUUGAUAUAAAGAUAGACAUAGAUCAACAGAGUAAAACUGAGAGUCCAAAAAUGAGCUCAGACAUUUAUGAUCACCUGAUUUUCAACAAGAGCACCAAGAAAAUUCAAUGGGGAAGGAUCUCUUUAAAAUUUCUAUUCCUAGGAAUAUA